UACGGAGGGUGCAAGCGUUAAUCGGAAUUACUGGGCGUAAAGCGCACGCAGGCGGACUUUCAAGUGAGAUGUGAAAUCCCCGGGCUCAACCCGGGAAUUGCAUUCGAAACUGGCAGACUAGAGUAUUGUAGGGGGGGGUAGAAUUCCAGGUGUAGCGGUGAAAUGCGUAGAGAUCUGGAGGAAUACCGAAGGCGAAGGCGGCCCCCUGGAAAAAGACUGACGCUCAUGUGCGAAAGCGUGGGGAGCAAACAGG
This 253-nucleotide ribosomal RNA is filed under the name uncultured bacterium. Its description in RNAcentral is "partial 16S ribosomal RNA". It matches the Rfam family "Bacterial small subunit ribosomal RNA", at positions 524 to 776 of the family's 1533-position model. The record is from RNAcentral.